This 336-nucleotide ribosomal RNA is filed under the name uncultured Anoxybacillus sp. RNAcentral describes it as "bacterial SSU rRNA". It matches the Rfam family "Bacterial small subunit ribosomal RNA", at positions 1043 to 1382 of the family's 1533-position model. The record is from RNAcentral. Lineage: Bacteria; Bacillati; Bacillota; Bacilli; Caryophanales; Anoxybacillaceae.
GCAUGGUUGUCGUCAGCUCGUGUCGUGAGAUGUUGGGUUAAGUCCCGCAACGAGCGCAACCCUCGACCUUAGUUGCCAGCAUUCAGUUGGGCACUCUAAGGUGACUGCCGGCUAAAAGUCGAGAAGGUGGGGAUGACGUCAAAUCAUCAUGCCCCUUAUGACCUGGGCUACACACGUGCUACAAUGGGCGGUACAAAGGGUCGCGAACCCGCGAGGGGGAGCCAAUCCCAAAAAGCCGCUCUCAGUUCGGAUUGCAGGCUGCAACUCGCCUGCAUGAAGCCGGAAUCGCUAGUAAUCGCGGAUCAGCAUGCCGCGGUGAAUACGUUCCCGGGCCUU